Molecule: ribosomal RNA, 292 nt
Filed under: uncultured bacterium
Lineage: Bacteria
Description: partial 16S ribosomal RNA
Rfam family: Bacterial small subunit ribosomal RNA
Source: RNAcentral
GUGUCAGCCGCCGCGGUAAGACAGAGGGUGCAAACGUUGUUCGGAAUUACUGGGCGUAAAGCGCGUGUAGGCGGUUAUGCAAGUCGGGUGUGAAAGCCCCGGGCUCAACCCGGGAAGUGCAUUCGAUACUGCGUAGCUAGAGUACUGGAGAGGAUGGUGGAACUCUCGGUGUAGAGGUGAAAUUCGUAGAUAUCGAGAAGAACACCGGUGGCGAAGGCGGCCAUCUGGACAGAUACUGACGCUGAGACGCGAAAGCGUGGGGAGCAAACAGGAUUAGAAACCCCAGUAGUCC